Molecule: long non-coding RNA, 1180 nt
Organism: Ostrea edulis (European flat oyster)
Lineage: Eukaryota; Metazoa; Mollusca; Bivalvia; Ostreida; Ostreidae
Exons: 5
Source: RefSeq, a predicted model, not a curated record
UUUCGAUGUAAACAGCGAAGCAUGGAGUCCGGUAAAAGAAAACGCGGUCGUCCAAGCUUCUUGACGGAGUCAGCACGGAAGAAAAAGAGGAAAUAAUCUGAAAAACGACGCAGCCAACAAAGAAUUUCUAUAGGACACCAUCUAGAGGAAUGGAAUCGGCUUCGUGUUGCACUUGGCCUACAAUCAAACCCACAACUUGCAGGCGUUCUCCUCAGGCAACACAAGCACUAUGAAGGCCGUACUAGACCUAUGUCAACUCCUGCAAAACAGGGCUUACCAACAGGUCCAGAAUUUACAGUGUCUGAGAUUUCCUGUACAGACACAUGCAGUAAAGAGAGUGAAAGCACGGAAACAGCAGUGCCAGGAAUAAAAGAAAUGGAAAAAUCCUUUGGGGAUCAGCCAACAAGCAGCCAUGUUACAUUUCAGAAAAAAGCACUGUCAUCCUCCUUCAUAGACCCAUUCAGUUUAAGUAUUAGUGUUACCAAGGAUUAUGACGAGGAAGAAGAUAUGCAUGACGACGAUUAUGUACCAGAAUUUGAUGUGACCUUGGGUGAAGAGAAGACAGAUAUUGAAGAUGUAGCUGGCGGUGACAUGAUCCUUGAUAUAGAGAAUACAGAUAUGGAAGUUGAAUCAGGAGAAAAUUUCACCGGCCCAGGCAUCACCCAAAUAUCAUCAAUGACAGAAUCUGAAUCCGUUUUGAAAGCAGAUAAAGUGAUUGCAUAUGAAGAGCAGCUUCUGCAGUUAGCUUCCACAAAGAUUAAUGAUAAAUGCAUAGUGAAAGGAUGCUCGGAAACAUUGAAACUUUCUACAAGGUAUGUCGCAUUUGCCAUGUACAUUGUUUGGGUAUGUACUUGAUAUUUAUUCAAUUAUUGUUGGAAUAAUUUAUUUUACAAGUACAUGCAAUUUACAGAUUUCUGUCAAUCAAAGUUGAUUGAUUUCAUUGGAAUUUAUUAUCCUUUAUAUAAAAAACAAAAUAGGAGUGAAUGUGGUAUUGAGAAAAUCCUUGUUUUUACUUUUAAGUCCUGCUCAAAUGCACACAUUAGACAUAGAUAGUGUUCUCAACCAGUGCUCAACAAAGGACUUCACAGUGGAGAUUUGAUGAUAUCAGCUGCAAUUCUUUUCUCUGGGAACAAUUUCAGUAAGGUGGCACUUAUGGCAAAGUUCCUCGAUCUUCAUUUCC